RNAcentral lists this transfer RNA (71 nucleotides) under Loxodonta africana (African savanna elephant). It matches the Rfam family "tRNA". Rfam says of the family: Transfer RNA (tRNA) molecules are approximately 80 nucleotides in length. Their secondary structure includes four short double-helical elements and three loops (D, anti-codon, and T loops). The record is from Rfam by way of RNAcentral. Lineage: Eukaryota; Metazoa; Chordata; Mammalia; Proboscidea; Elephantidae.
GUUUGGAUGGUUCAGUGGUAGAAUUCUCACCUUUCAUGUGGGAGACUCGGGUUUGAUACCCAGUCAAUGCA